CCUACGGGAGGCAGCAGUGGGGAAUAUUGGACAAUGGGGGGAACCCUGAUCCAGCGACGCCGCGUGAGUGAAGAAGUAUUUCGGGUUGUAAAGCUCUAUCAGCAGGGAAGAAAGACAUGACGGUACCUGACUAAGAAGCCACGGCUAACUACGUGCCAGCAGCCGCGGUAAUACGUAGGGGGCAAGCGUCAUCCGGAUUUACUGGGUGGAAGGGGAGCGUAGACGGCGAUGCAAGUCCGAAGUGAAAGGCGGGGGCCCAACCCCGGGACUGCUCUUGAAACUGUGUGGCUGGAGUGCAGGAGAGGCAGGUGGAAUUCCUGGUGUAGCGGUGAAGUGCGGAGAUAUGAGGAGGAACACCAGUGGCGAAGGCGGCCUGCUGGACUGUAACUGACGUUGAGGCUCGAAAGCGUGGGGAGCAAACAGGAUUAGAUACCCGGGUAGUC
This 443-nucleotide ribosomal RNA is filed under the name uncultured bacterium. Its description in RNAcentral is "partial 16S ribosomal RNA". It matches the Rfam family "Bacterial small subunit ribosomal RNA", at positions 338 to 795 of the family's 1533-position model. The record is from RNAcentral.